RNAcentral lists this ribosomal RNA (789 nucleotides) under Pseudoalteromonas lipolytica. RNAcentral describes it as "bacterial LSU rRNA". It matches the Rfam family "Bacterial large subunit ribosomal RNA", at positions 418 to 1212 of the family's 2925-position model. Lineage: Bacteria; Pseudomonadati; Pseudomonadota; Gammaproteobacteria; Alteromonadales; Pseudoalteromonadaceae. The record is from RNAcentral.
CGGAGCACGUGAAACUUUGACUGAAUAUAGGUGGACCAUCAUCUAAGGCUAAAUACUCCCAACUGACCGAUAGUGAACCAGUACCGUGAGGGAAAGGCGAAAAGAACCCCUGUGAGGGGAGUGAAAUAGAACCUGAAACCGUGUACGUACAAGCAGUAGGAGCCCUUCGAGGGUGACUGCGUACCUUUUGUAUAAUGGGUCAGCGACUUAUAUUUUGUAGCGAGGUUAACCGAUUAGGGUAGCCGUAGUGAAAGCGAGCGUUAACUGCGCGUUUAGUUGCAAGGUAUAGACCCGAAACCCGGUGAUCUAGCCAUGGGCAGGUUGAAGGUUGAGUAACAUCAACUGGAGGACCGAACCCACUAACGUUGAAAAGUUAGGGGAUGACCUGUGGCUAGGAGUGAAAGGCUAAUCAAACCGGGAGAUAGCUGGUUCUCCCCGAAAUCUAUUUAGGUAGAGCCUCGGACGAAUACUUACGGGGGUAGAGCACUGUUAAGGCUAGGGGGUCAUCCCGACUUACCAACCCUUUGCAAACUCCGAAUACCGUAAAGUACUAUCCGGGAGACACACGGCGGGUGCUAACGUCCGUCGUGAAGAGGGAAACAACCCAGACCGCCAGCUAAGGUCCCAAAGUCAUAGUUAAGUGGGAAACGAUGUGGAAAGGCCCAGACAGCCAGGAGGUUGGCUUAGAAGCAGCCAUCCUUUAAAGAAAGCGUAAUAGCUCACUGGUCGAGUCGGUCUGCGCGGAAGAUGUAACGGGGCUAAACUAUGCACCGAAGCUGCGGAUUCAAA